This 486-nucleotide ribosomal RNA is filed under the name uncultured KB1 group bacterium. RNAcentral's name for it is "bacterial SSU rRNA". It matches the Rfam family "Bacterial small subunit ribosomal RNA", at positions 505 to 989 of the family's 1533-position model. The record is from RNAcentral. Lineage: Bacteria; Candidatus Calescibacteriota.
GUGCCAGCAGCCGCGGUAAGACGAAGGGCGCAAGCGUUAUCCGGAAUUACUGGGCGUAAAGGGCGUCUAGGCGGCCAGUCAAGUCGACGUUGAAAUUCCUCGGCUAAACUGAGGGAGGUACGUCGAAACUGACCGGCUAGAGGGACGUAGAGGUAAGCGGAACUCUCGGAGUAGCGGUGAAAUGCGUAGAGACCGAGAGGUACCCCGAUGGUGAAGACAGCUUACUGGGCGUCUCCUGACGCUGAAGCGCUAAGGCCAGGGGAGCGAAGGGGAUUAGAUACCCCCGUAGUCCUGGCUUCAAACUAUGUGGGCUUGGUGUCGGCUCCCGAUAGAGAGUCGUUGCCGGAGCUAACGUGUUAAGCCCACCGCCUGGGGAUUACGUCCGCAAGGAUGAAACUCAAGGGAAUUGACGGGGGCCCACACAACCGGUGGAGCACGUGGUUUAAUUCGAUGAUAAGCGAAGAACCUUACCAGGGCUUGACCUAC